UUAGUCUUUUGUGAUACAUUUUCAAUGAGUCAGGUUGUUUGGGAAUGCAGCCUAAAUUGGGAGGUAAAUCUCUCCUAAAGCUAAAUAUUUGCGAGAAACCGAUAGCGAACAAGUACCGUGAGGGAAAGAUGAAAAGAACUUUGAAAAGAGAGUUAAACAGUAUGUGAAAUUGUUAAAAGGGAACCGUUUGGAGCCAGUCUGGCUUUCCUAUAAUCAAUCUAGGCUUCGGCCUUGAUGCACUUGUAGGUUAUCGCCGGCCAACGACAAUUGGGAUCGCGAGGGAAAAAACCUUUGGAAAUGUAGCCAUUCUGCAAAGUUUGGUGUUAUAGUCCUUGGGAAAAUACCUUGUGCUCGAUUGAGGAUCGCAGUGAAUGCCUUUCGGGGCAGGAUGUGGUGAGGUAGGUUUGCUUGACCUAAGGUGACUUUCGGGUUGCUUUAGCGAUGGCUUACUC
Molecule: ribosomal RNA, 452 nt
Filed under: Rhizopus stolonifer
Lineage: Eukaryota; Fungi; Mucoromycota; Mucoromycetes; Mucorales; Rhizopodaceae
Description: eukaryotic LSU rRNA
Rfam family: Eukaryotic large subunit ribosomal RNA
Source: RNAcentral